Long non-coding RNA from Onychostruthus taczanowskii (white-rumped snowfinch), 798 nucleotides. RefSeq lists it as uncharacterized. NCBI's taxonomy places the organism in Eukaryota, Metazoa, Chordata, Aves, Passeriformes, Passeridae. The transcript is spliced from 5 exons. The record is from RefSeq and is a predicted model, not a curated record.
UAUAUGAACUUAAGUCUCCUAUGUAACAGAUGCCACCCUUGGCCAGCACAGCGCUGCAGGCUUGAAUACUGGCACUUCCAGUUCCGUGUUUAUCUUUGGACACAGAAGGAAAAAUGUCACUGGAAGACUCAGCAAUAUUGCAAGUUUAAGAGUAUUGUAAGUGCCUGGUGGAACAACUUGAGAAGCAAAGAUGUUGGCCAGGACAGCACUAAACCUCCAGCGUGAACUUGAAGUCAGUGAGAGCAGAUGCUUAAAAUUGUCACUGACAAAAGAAGGACCUAAUGGAAACAAAGUACAGGUGAACAAACACAUUAAAGAAACCUGUGCAGAUGAGCCUCCCUUACAUAUGCCACUAAAAUAACCCAUCUAAUUUACUGUGUUUGGCCACGAGAUGGCAGCUUCCCACUGCACAUUCCCAAAAUGAACAGCUUGGCAGGCCUUUCUUGAGGAGUGAGCCACUUCUGCCUGGCGUGGGAAUGACAUAUGGAUAGUCACUAUGAGAGAAGAAGCAAAAAAACAGCCUUAAAAGUAGUGCCUUAGGGCCUCUCUCUGCAACGGGGCAAGCAGCUCAGUAAUGCUACUCCAAGCAGUCGUUCCACAGAAGCCGGCUACUCAUCAAAGCACCACUUGUUCUAUGCCAGAAGCUUUUGCUUGUUCUGUGGUAUUUUUUUAUAGACAAACAGUUUCCAAGGAAAAAGGAUCCAUCUUCCAAGAUCUUUGCACACUUUAUCCAACUGUGGGAAUAAACCAUGAAGAAAUGCUGGUAGCACUGGCCAUGCUGUAACAGUAAUAAUAAAG